CCUACGGGAGGCAGCAGUGGGGAAUAUUGGACAAUGGGCGAAAGCCUGAUCCAGCCAUGCCGCGUGUGUGAAGAAGGCCUUCGGGUUGUAAAGCACUUUCAGUGGGGAAGAAAGCCUUGGGGCUAAUACCCUCGAGGGAGGACAUCACCCACAGAAGAAGCACCGGCUAACUCCGUGCCAGCAGCCGCGGUAAUACGGAGGGUGCGAGCGUUAAUCGGAAUUACUGGGCGUAAAGCGCGCGUAGGCGGUCUGAUAAGCCGGUUGUGAAAGCCCCGGGCUCAACCUGGGAACGGCAUCCGGAACUGUCAGGCUAGAGUGCAGGAGAGGAAGGUAGAAUUCCCGGUGUAGCGGUGAAAUGCGUAGAGAUCGGGAGGAAUACCAGUGGCGAAGGCGGCCUUCUGGACUGACACUGACGCUGAGGUGCGAAAGCGUGGGUAGCAAACAGGAUUAGAUACCCUAGUAGUC
This 465-nucleotide ribosomal RNA is filed under the name Vreelandella stevensii. Its description in RNAcentral is "partial 16S ribosomal RNA". It matches the Rfam family "Bacterial small subunit ribosomal RNA", at positions 338 to 795 of the family's 1533-position model. The record is from RNAcentral. Lineage: Bacteria; Pseudomonadati; Pseudomonadota; Gammaproteobacteria; Oceanospirillales; Halomonadaceae.